Molecule: long non-coding RNA, 1205 nt
Organism: Aquila chrysaetos chrysaetos
Lineage: Eukaryota; Metazoa; Chordata; Aves; Accipitriformes; Accipitridae
Exons: 3
Source: RefSeq, a predicted model, not a curated record
CCUCCCAAGUAAAGCUGUAGGGAAUUGGGCUUUUUAUCUGCAAGUUUUGGCUUCAGAUGAUAUCACCUCCAGACAGUUGUACUCAAGUCACAAGGUCAACUUUGCUUUCGAUUCCAAAAUUGCUAAACUUGGCUGAUUUUUACUGUUUUCUAGUGGUGCAAUUCUCUGCCUUUCAAGAAGCUACGGCAGACGGGAUAAGACUUUCAAAAGGACUUGAUGGGAUUUUUGUUGUUGUUCAUAAAAUCCUGCAGCACUCCCCUUCUUUGAGCUACUGACUCAUUAGGACUAAGAAGUUGCCAGUUCUUCAGCUGUUGUGAAUGCAGCUCCACUGACAUGGAUGGGCUGAUGCUGUUCCUCGAGGACCUAGCAAGUGUGUUACCUGGGAUGCUGCACAUACGUGAUUAAAACGGCCACAGAACAUCAGCCUUUCUCCAGUUUCUGUGUGCUUACUGAAGUGCUGUAUGGAAAGGACAAUUAAAGGCGAGUUGCAUUCCUGAAAAGGGAUAGCCUGUCGCACAGGUUUUUGGUUGAUUUUUCACAAAGAAUGAUCUUGUGGGCCUCGUUUUUGGCUGACCUCCAGGAGCAGGGAGAUCUGGAUUCUCUUGCGAUAAACCUCUGGGUGACUUUGGAUGCCGUACUAUACUGCCUGCUGCAUUGGUUUCCCCAUCUGAUGGAUGCAGUCUUUCGGGGAUGGCAAGAAAUCUUUCAAAUCCUUUGGAAAUGCUUCAGGAAAUGGUAGCACAGUACAAAGAAUUCCUGGUUGGAAAAACAGAGUAUGUGGCUACAAUAGCUGAAGGCUGGAACAAGUGACAGUAGGAGAGAGUCUGGAGCUCAAGACCACAUGGCCAAGUGCCCUAGGAACUUCAGCUUUACAGCAGCAAAACGUGAGUGCUUUCUGUAUCAAAGCUGUUUGAACAAUCCAGAUUAAACCGUUUUUUUCCUUCAAAUGGCUAAUUUGGGAGCGUGCGGAGCUGUAGCCUCUUUGUCACCACCUCAUGCACCUAUGGGCCCACAUACCUAAGCAAAGGAGCCAGAGGACGUUUCUACCUGCCCCUGCCCUUGCCCCAUAACCUACCUCCCUUUGCUUUCCUGCCUGGAGAGGGAACAAGGGGCCGUGCGGCACAAGCAGAACAGGCACUGCUGCGUGAACCAUCGGGAAUGCGUAACUGCUCCUCAGUAAGUUGCCAGACUGCCUUAAAAAGGAC